UCAUCAUUAACGUCAAUUACUUUAUUUCUUUUUUAAUACAAUUACAAAAUGUUAUGUUAAUUAAAAUAUGUUAAUUUUCUGAAACCGUCAACGUAUAAAAGGUGUUGUUGAAGUACAGAAGAGAGAGCCUCCACUAUUGAUGGGCAACUGGCGUGGUGGUCGUCUCGACUGUGGUGUUUUCGUCUCGCCUGUGGUAUUUUCGUCUCGACUGUGGUGUCUUAGUCGUGACUGUGGUGAUCUCGUUUUUGACUGUGGUGUUUUAAAAACUGCUGCUGAGCUAUCGACAUUGAAUGACGGACUUGUUGGUGGAGGUUCACUGUCAAGUGGAGAUUAUUUUGUUAUUCAUUAUACUAGUUGUAAUUACUAAUUUUAUAUUAAAUUUAUAUUAAACAGAAGUUCUU
This 401-nucleotide long non-coding RNA is filed under the name Androctonus crassicauda. The record is from RNAcentral. Lineage: Eukaryota; Metazoa; Arthropoda; Arachnida; Scorpiones; Buthidae.